CGCAAAUUGCGCUCCUUGGUAUUCCGAGGAGCAUGCCUGUUUGAGUGUCAUGAAAUCAUCCACCUUGGCUUUUGGUUAAUUCCACUGGCCUUGGCUGGGACUUGGGUGUCUGCCGCUGAUGAAGUGGCUCACCUUAAAUCGAUUUCUGAUUGACUCUGUAAGCAGUCGGUUUGACUUGGCAUCAUAAGUUAUUUUGCUGAGGACAUCUUCGGAUGGCCGUCUGUUCACCUUGUCAUGUGCAGCCUUGUGGUCCACACUAGGUCUGUACGCACCAUCUUUUGACAUCUGGCCUCAAAUCAGGUAGGACUACCCGCUGAACUUAA
RNAcentral lists this unclassified non-coding RNA (323 nucleotides) under Basidiomycota sp. RNAcentral's name for it is "partial contains 5.8S ribosomal RNA, internal transcribed spacer 2, and large subunit ribosomal RNA". The stretch from base 1 to 50 matches the Rfam family "5.8S ribosomal RNA", at positions 105 to 154 of the family's 154-position model. The record is from RNAcentral. Lineage: Eukaryota; Fungi; Basidiomycota.